RNAcentral lists this ribosomal RNA (232 nucleotides) under uncultured bacterium. RNAcentral describes it as "partial 16S ribosomal RNA". It matches the Rfam family "Bacterial small subunit ribosomal RNA", at positions 103 to 334 of the family's 1533-position model. The record is from RNAcentral.
CCGGGUGAGUAGCACGUAUCCAACCUGCCGUCUACUCUUGGACAGCCUUCUGAAAGGAAGAUUAAUACAAGAUGGCAUCAUGAGUCCGCAUGUUCACAUGAUUAAAGGUAUUCCGGUAGACGAUGGGGAUGCGUUCCAUUAGAUAGUAGGCGGGGUAACGGCCCACCUAGUCUUCGAUGGAUAGGGGUUCUGAGAGGAAGGUCCCCCACAUUGGAACUGAGACACGGUCCAA